This 354-nucleotide ribosomal RNA is filed under the name uncultured bacterium. Its description in RNAcentral is "partial 16S ribosomal RNA". It matches the Rfam family "Bacterial small subunit ribosomal RNA", at positions 338 to 709 of the family's 1533-position model. The record is from RNAcentral.
CCUACGGGAGGCAGCAGUAGGGAAUAUUGCUCAAUGGGGGAAACCCUGAUGCAGCAACGCCGCGUGGGUGAUGAAGGUUUUCGGUUUGUAAACCCCUUUUGGUAGAGAAGAAAAUGACGGUAUCUAACGAAUAAGCACCGGCUAACUCCGUGCCAGCAGCCGCGGUAAUACGGAGGGUGCAAGCGUUACCCGGAUUCACUGGGUGUAAAGAGCGCGUAGGCGGGGUAGCAAGUCAGGUGUGAAAUCCCAUGGCUUAACCAUAGUACUGCAUUUGAAACUGUUAGUCUAGAGUAUGGGAGAGGUAGGUGGAAUUCCUGGUGUAGCGGUAAAAUCCGUAGAGAUCAGGAGGAACAC